CUACAGCCAAUUAAGCCGACCAUCCCCCUCUUCCCGUGGGGAUCUGGUGUGCAGUGGCUGUAGACAGCAGCCUCUUAGUAGUGUGUGUGGGCUCGUGCCCUAAGGGACCUGGGAGACAGCC
RNAcentral lists this small nucleolar RNA (121 nucleotides) under Dasypus novemcinctus (nine-banded armadillo). RNAcentral describes it as "Small nucleolar RNA SNORA70 (ENSDNOG00000042335.1)". It matches the Rfam family "Small nucleolar RNA SNORA70". From Rfam's summary of the family: snoRNA U70 seems to be exclusive to mammals and is a member of the H/ACA class of snoRNA which contain H (ANANNA) and ACA box motifs. H/ACA box snoRNAs are involved in the conversion of uridines to pseudouridines (5-ribosyluracil) a constituent of structural RNAs (transfer, ribosomal, small nuclear, and small nucleolar). Lineage: Eukaryota; Metazoa; Chordata; Mammalia; Cingulata; Dasypodidae. The record is from RNAcentral.